RNAcentral lists this ribosomal RNA (494 nucleotides) under uncultured bacterium. Its description in RNAcentral is "partial 16S ribosomal RNA". It matches the Rfam family "Bacterial small subunit ribosomal RNA", at positions 28 to 523 of the family's 1533-position model. The record is from RNAcentral.
GAUGAACGCUAGCGGCAGGCUUAACACAUGCAAGUCGAGGGGUAUAGGUUUUCGGACCUAGAGACCGGCGCACGGGUGCGUAACGCGUAUGCAAUCUACCUUGUACAGGGGGAUAGCCCAGAGAAAUUUGGAUUAAUACCCCAUAGUAUCAUAGAAUGGCAUCAUUUUAUAAUUAAAGUUCCAACGGUACAAGAUGAGCAGGCGUCCCAUUAGCUAGUUGGUAUGGUAACGGCAUACCAAGGCUACGAUGGGUAGGGGUCCUGAGAGGGGGGAGCCCGACACUGGUACUGGAGACGGGACCAGACUCCUACGGGAGGCAGAAGUGAGGUAUAUUUGUCAAGGGACGCACAUCUGAACCAGCGAUGACGCCUGCAGGAUGACGGUCUUAUGGAUGCUAACCUGCUUUUGUAGAGGAAGAAACACCCCUACGUGUAGGAACUUGACGUUACUGUAAGAAUAAGGAUCGGCUAACUCCGUGCCAGCCGCCGCCGUAA